AUGAACGCUGGCGGCGUGCCUAAUACAUGCCGGUCGAGCGAACAGACGAGGAGCUUGCUCCUUUGACGUUAGCGGCGGACGGGUGAGUAACACGUGGAUAACCUACCUAUAAGACUGGGAUAACUUCGGGAAACCGGAGCUAAUACCGGAUAACAUGUUGAACCGCAUGGUUCAACAGUGAAAGACGGUCUUGCUGUCACUUAUAGAUGGAUCCGCGCCGCAUUAGCUAGUUGGUAAGGUAACGGCUUACCAAGGCAACGAUGCGUAGCCGACCUGAGAGGGUGAUCGGCCACACUGGAACUGAGACACGGUCCAGACUCCUACGGGAGGCAGCAGUAGGGAAUCUUCCGCAAUGGGCGAAAGCCUGACGGAGCAACGCCGCGUGAGUGAAGAAGGUCUUCGGAUCGUAAAACUCUGUUAUUAGGGAAGAACAAAUGUGUAAGUAACUAUGCACGUCUUGACGGUACCUAAUCAGAAAGCCACGGCUAACUACGUG
RNAcentral lists this ribosomal RNA (496 nucleotides) under uncultured bacterium. RNAcentral's name for it is "partial 16S ribosomal RNA". It matches the Rfam family "Bacterial small subunit ribosomal RNA", at positions 29 to 507 of the family's 1533-position model. The record is from RNAcentral.